GUAGGUGGCAAGCGUUGUCCGGAAUUAUUGGGGCGUAAAGCGCGCGCAGGCGGUCCUUUUAAGUCUGAUGUGAAAGCCCACGGGCUCAACCGUGGGAGGGGUCAUUGGAAACUGGGGGACUUGAGUGCAGAAGAGGAGAGUGGAAUUCCACGUGUAGCGGUGAAAUGCGUAGAGAUGUGGAGGAACACCAGUGGCGAAGGCGACUCUCUGGUCUGUAACUGACGCUGAGGCGCGAAAGCGUGGGGAGCGAACAGGAUUAGAUACCCUGGUAGUCCACGCCGUAAACGAUGAGUGCUAAGUGUUAGAGGGUUUCCGCCCUUUAGUGCUGCAGCUAACGCAUUAAGCACUCCGCCUGGGGAGUACGGCCGCAAAGACUG
This 377-nucleotide ribosomal RNA is filed under the name uncultured organism. RNAcentral's name for it is "partial 16S ribosomal RNA". It matches the Rfam family "Bacterial small subunit ribosomal RNA", at positions 527 to 896 of the family's 1533-position model. The record is from RNAcentral.